AUUGAACGCUGGCGGCAGGCCUAACACAUGCAAGUCGAGCGGAUGAAGGGAGCUUGCUCCUGGAUUCAGCGGCGGACGGGUGAGUAAUGCCUAGGAAUCUGCCUGGUAGUGGGGGAUAACGUCCGGAAACGGGCGCUAAUACCGCAUACGUCCUGAGGGAGAAAGUGGGGGAUCUUCGGACCUCACGCUAUCAGAUGAGCCUAGGUCGGAUUAGCUAGUUGGUGGGGUAAAGGCCUACCAAGGCGACGAUCCGUAACUGGUCUGAGAGGAUGAUCAGUCACACUGGAACUGAGACACGGUCCAGACUCCUACGGGAGGCAGCAGUGGGGAAUAUUGGACAAUGGGCGAAAGCCUGAUCCAGCCAUGCCGCGUGUGUGAAGAAGGUCUACGGAUUGUAAAGCACUUUAAGUUGGGAGGAAGGGCAGUAAGUUAAUACCUUGCUGUUUUGACGGUACCAACAGAAUAAGCACCGGCUAACUUCGUG
Molecule: ribosomal RNA, 484 nt
Filed under: uncultured bacterium
Lineage: Bacteria
Description: partial 16S ribosomal RNA
Rfam family: Bacterial small subunit ribosomal RNA
Source: RNAcentral